This 253-nucleotide ribosomal RNA is filed under the name uncultured bacterium. Its description in RNAcentral is "partial 16S ribosomal RNA". It matches the Rfam family "Bacterial small subunit ribosomal RNA", at positions 524 to 776 of the family's 1533-position model. The record is from RNAcentral.
UACGGGGGGGGCAAGCGUUGUUCGGAAUUACUGGGCGUAAAGGGCCAGUAGGCGGCCAACUAAGUCCGACGUGAAAUCCCCAGGCUUAACCUGGGAACUGCGUCGGAUACUGGAUGGCUUGAAUUCGGGAGAGGGAUGCAGAAUUCCAGGUGUAGCGGUGAAAUGCGUAGAUAUCAGGAGGAACACCCAUGGCGAAGGCAGCUCUCUGGUCGACCUCUGACGCUGAGACGCGAAAGCGUGGGGAGCGAACGGG